GUUUAAAAGACAUACCCAAAAGUUGUUUUCCCUGUUGAACAGUCGCUUCCUCUAUUGAGAAGUCACAUUCUUCGACAAUUUCUUCUACUCUCUUUCUCUGACGCACACCUGGAACUCGAAUUCGUCAUCGGAAAUCCAGAAAUAUUUGGUUAGUUUUGUUGGAAUCUUAAGUAGUUUGAUUUUAAAAAAUGCAAAGCGGAGGAGAUGAAGUUGGAGUUGAACAAUUCGCUUCGAAUCUCUCUACUUACGAAAAACAACUUCACCAGCUGUAGGUAAGGCCUUAGAAAAGCGAAAAAGAGAAGAAGCACAGGAAGUAGGUGAAACGAAAUGAUGUAUAGAUAACAAAUGUUGCCUAUAUUACUACCUGAAAGAGGUUACCUAAAAUAUUGCAGAAAGGCUCUACUUUAACAAGGUUUUAAUUUACCUUAUUCAAUUGAGUGAGAUUGGUUCUGACGUUUGGCGGAAUUAGGCAUGGAAAUGGAGAAGGCUUAUCAGAGCAGCGACUUCAACAAAUGUUGCCCCACAUAUUUGUGAAGUUCAUUCACAUAUUGAAGACACUUGUGUUCCGGCCCUUCCCCGGACUCCGCAUAUAGCGGGAGCUUAGUGCACCAGGCUGCCUUUUUAUUCACAUGCUAAAGAUAGACUAUUUUUGAGAUUGUGUAAUAAAGAAAAUACAAAGGAUAUGGAGCUGAAUGCUGCUACUAUGGAUGCAAGUACAGUGCAUUCUUCAGCGUGUUUCAGAGGUUUCAUAUGGUGAGGGCUCAUGAGCAUGAUCUUGAAGAAAGCUUUUAGGGGAUGACGAGCUCCGACAAUAUGGUUCAGAUGUCAUUUAAUAUGUAUUGCGAGAACCCAUAAUGCAGAGCUUGGAAAGGCAGACUCAUGGUCAGAUUCAAUUCUAUGAAUGAAAAAGAAGUCAGCCUCUGAGUGGCAUUACACAUGUGGCAUAUUUUUCGAUUAUAUUUCAUAUGCAAUAUCCUCCGUAUCAGAUGUAAUUUUCACAUGCAAUCCGUAUGCUUUUACUUGGAAAGGCAAACGCAUUGUGAGAUUCAAUUCUAUGAGUGAAAAAGAAGUCAGCCUCUUAGUCCAUAUUAAAAAAAAAGUCAGCAUGAGUGGAAUUACACAUGUGGUAUAUUUGCCGAUUUUAUUUCAUAUGCGAUAUAUCUGUGUAUCAGGUGUAAUUUUACGCAUUAAUUGAAGCGAUUCGCCUGUUUUUAUUUUUCUGGCA
Molecule: long non-coding RNA, 1225 nt
Organism: Nicotiana attenuata
Lineage: Eukaryota; Viridiplantae; Streptophyta; Magnoliopsida; Solanales; Solanaceae
Exons: 5
Source: RefSeq, a predicted model, not a curated record